UGAUUGGUUGAGCUGAACUGAAAACAUCAUGGCCCCGCCCACUGAACUUCAGCUCAUCCAAUGACAUUAUUUCUUCCUCAUUCUACUGCAGUGGAAGAACAUUGUUCAUCUGCUGUGUGUCUGGCUUUAAGAACUCCAAAGACAUGUUGCUUUACCUCUUUUUGCUUCUAUCUCACAUUCUAGGACUAAAAGCUGCAGACACAAUCUCUCCUGAUCAAGAUGAAGUCAGUGGAAGAGAAGGACGACCUCUCAAACUCAGAUGCACAUUUCAGACAGGUUAUAAUUAUCCUUAUCUCCACUGGUACAAACAUCAUUCUGACCUUCAGGCUCCUCAGUUUAUACUCUGGAAACGACAUGGCACCAGAGAAGAACACAUUCCUGAUAAACGAUAUUCCUCAGAAACAUCGUCUACAACAACCAGCCUGACCAUCAGCGAGCUAACCCUGGCAGACACAGCUCUCUACUACUGUGCUCUAGAAACACACUAACAUUUGCAAAGCCGA
Melanotaenia boesemani (Boeseman's rainbowfish) is the source of this 503-nucleotide long non-coding RNA. RefSeq lists it as uncharacterized. Lineage: Eukaryota; Metazoa; Chordata; Actinopteri; Atheriniformes; Melanotaeniidae. The record is from RefSeq and is a predicted model, not a curated record. The transcript has 4 exons.